RNAcentral lists this long non-coding RNA (1102 nucleotides) under Xyrichtys novacula (pearly razorfish). The stretch from base 249 to 346 matches the Rfam family "tRNA". The record is from RNAcentral. Lineage: Eukaryota; Metazoa; Chordata; Actinopteri; Labriformes; Labridae.
UCCUCCAAAAUGUCAAAACACAAAGAAGAUAACUCUUUCUUAAAUUUUCAACCAUCAAUUUUUUAUUCACUCAGCCUAAAAGUCCUGAUUAUCAGUUCUGGGUCCCUGGCAAUGACUGUUGGGUACAAACUGCAAAGCUUUGUUCUGCAGGUAGGGCUGGGCUUUUCAUUGACCAUGGGUUGGAAUAGUUCUGUGGGCAUAGUGUGUCUUUGAAGCCACUAUGUUUUCUGCACUUGUGACUAGAGAGCACCUUGAUAGCUCAGUUGGUAGAGCGGUGGACUGUAAGAUGCUCCUUGUGUGAAACGCUGUGAUCCUAAGGUCGCUGGUUCAACUCCAGCUCCAAGCACCUCCUUGUCAUUGGAAAUACCCCCAAGCCUUGUCUUUAUCUGUCAACUCCUCCAAAAUGUCAAAACACAAAGAAGAUAACUCUUUCUUAAAUUUUCAACCAUCAAUUUUUUAUUCACCCAGCCUAAAAGUCCUGAUUAUCAGUUCUGGGUCCCUGGCAAUGACUGUUGGGUACAAACUGCAAAGCUUUGUUCUGCAGGUAGGGCUGGGCUUUUCAUUGACCAUGGGUUGGAAUAGUUCUGUGGGCAUAGUGUGUCUUCGAAGCCACUAUGUUUUCUGCACUUGUGACUAGAGAGCACCUUGAUAGCUCAGUUGGUAGAGCGGUGGACUGUAAGAUGCUCCUUGUGUGAAACGCCGUGAUCCUAAGGUCGCUGGUUCAACUCCAGCUCCAAGCACCUCCUUGUCAUUGGAAAUACCCCCAAGCCUUGUCUUUAUCUGUCAACUCCUCCAAAAUGUCAAAACACAAAGAAGAUAACUCUUUCUUAAAUUUUCAACCAUCAAUUUUUUAUUCACUCAGCCUAAAAGUCCUGAUUAUCAGUUCUGGGUCCCUGGCAAUGACUGUUGGGUACAAACUGCAAAGCUUUGUUCUGCAGGUAGGGCUGGGCUUUUCAUUGACCAUGGGUUGGAAUAGUUCUGUGGGCAUAGUGUGUCUUCGAAGCCACUAUGUUUUCUGCACUUGUGACUAGAGAGCACCUUGAUAGCUCAGUUGGUAGAGCGGUGGACUGUAAGAUGCUCCUUGUGUGAAACGCUGUGAUCC